CGAAAUGUAGCACAAUUGGCAGUGUAUCUGUUUUGGGAAUAGAAGGUUAUGUGUUCAAAUCACAUCAUUUCGA
Molecule: transfer RNA, 73 nt
Filed under: Rickettsiales bacterium
Lineage: Bacteria; Pseudomonadati; Pseudomonadota; Alphaproteobacteria; Rickettsiales
Description: tRNA-Pro
Rfam family: tRNA
About the family: Transfer RNA (tRNA) molecules are approximately 80 nucleotides in length. Their secondary structure includes four short double-helical elements and three loops (D, anti-codon, and T loops).
Source: RNAcentral